AUAAAACAUGAUGAACCUAUUACCGCCCCAGUCUGAUUUUUGUGACUGAUAGGUAUUUCUAUUUCUGAUAUUGA
Molecule: small nucleolar RNA, 74 nt
Organism: Diabrotica virgifera virgifera (western corn rootworm)
Lineage: Eukaryota; Metazoa; Arthropoda; Insecta; Coleoptera; Chrysomelidae
Source: RefSeq, a predicted model, not a curated record